CAGGACUCGCAAGACUCCUACAACCCUGUGAACCUACUAUACGAACGUUGCUUCGGCGGGUGCGCCCCGGGGAUUCGUUCCCGAGGCGCGUCAGCCCGCCGGCAGCCUACAAAUUCUGUUUCUUUGCGUUGGCAUCUCGAGAAAAAAAAAUAAGUUA
This 157-nucleotide unclassified non-coding RNA is filed under the name soil metagenome. Its description in RNAcentral is "partial internal transcribed spacer 1". The record is from RNAcentral.